This 549-nucleotide ribosomal RNA is filed under the name uncultured bacterium. RNAcentral's name for it is "bacterial SSU rRNA". It matches the Rfam family "Bacterial small subunit ribosomal RNA", at positions 765 to 1311 of the family's 1533-position model. The record is from RNAcentral.
GGAGCGAACAGGAUUAGAUACCCUGGUAGUCCACGCCGUAAACGUUGGGCGCUAGGUGUGGGGCUCAUUCCACGAGUUCCGUGCCGCAGCUAACGCAUUAAGCGCCCCGCCUGGGGAGUACGGCCGCAAGGCUAAAACUCAAAGGAAUUGACGGGGACCCGCACAAGCGGUGGAGCAUGUGGUUUAAUUCGAGGCAACGCGAAGAACCUUACCAAAUCUUGACAUCCUCUGACCUCUCUAGAGAUAGAGUUUUCCCCUUCGGGGGACAGAGUGACAGGUGGUGCAUGGUUGUCGUCAGCUCGUGUCGUGAGAUGUUGGGUUAAGUCCCGCAACGAGCGCAACCCUUAAGCUUAGUUGCCAUCAUUAAGUUGGGCACUCUAAGUUGACUGCCGGUGACAAACCGGAGGAAGGUGGGGAUGACGUCAAAUCAUCAUGCCCCUUAUGAUUUGGGCUACACACGUACUACAAUGCUACGGACAAAGGGCAGCAAGCAUGCGAAUGCAAGCAAAUCCCAGAAACCGUGGCUCAGUUCAGAUUGCAGGCUGCAAC